GAUCCUGGCUCAGAAUCAACGCUGGCGGCGUGCCUAACACAUGCAAGUCGCACGAGAAAGCGGACUUCGGUCUGUGAGUACAGUGGCGCACGGGUGAGUAACACGUGACUAACCUACCUCCGAGUGGGGAAUAACCUAGGGAAACCUGGGCUAAUACCGCAUAACACUUACGAGUCAAAGCAGCAAUGCGCUUGGAGAGGGGGUCGCGGCAGAUUAGCUAGUUGGUGGGGUAAUGGCCCACCAAGGCGAUGAUCUGUAUCCGGCCUGAGAGGGCGCACGGACACACUGGAACUGAAACACGGUCCAGACUCCUACGGGAGGCAGCAGUGGGGAAUUUUGCGCAAUGGGGGAAACCCUGACGCAGCAACGCCGCGUGGAGGAUGAAGUCUCUUGGGACGUAAACUCCUUUCGAUAGGGAAGAUUAUGACGGUACCUAUAGAAGAAGCCCCGGCUAACUUCGUGCCAGCAGCCGCGGUAAUACGAGGGGGGCAAGCGUUGUUCGGAAUUAUUGGGCGUAAAGGGCGCGUAGGCGGUUUGGCAAGUUUGGUGUGAAAUCUUCGGGCUCAACUCGAAGUCUGCAUCGAAAACUGCCGGGCUUGAGUAUGGGAGAGGUGAGUGGAAUUUCCGGUGUAGCGGUGAAAUGCGUAGAUAUCGGAAGGAACACCUGUGGCGAAAGCGGCUCACUGGACC
RNAcentral lists this ribosomal RNA (690 nucleotides) under uncultured Acidobacteriota bacterium. Its description in RNAcentral is "bacterial SSU rRNA". It matches the Rfam family "Bacterial small subunit ribosomal RNA", at positions 15 to 735 of the family's 1533-position model. Lineage: Bacteria; Pseudomonadati; Acidobacteriota. The record is from RNAcentral.